RNAcentral lists this ribosomal RNA (451 nucleotides) under uncultured bacterium. RNAcentral's name for it is "bacterial SSU rRNA". It matches the Rfam family "Bacterial small subunit ribosomal RNA", at positions 340 to 786 of the family's 1533-position model. The record is from RNAcentral.
UACGGAAGGCAGCAGUGGGGAAUAUUGCACAAUGGGCGCAAGCCUGAUGCAGCCAUGCCGCGUGUAUGAAGAAGGCCUUCGGGUUGUAAAGUACUUUCAGUCGUGAGGAAGGUGUUAAGGUUAAUAACCUUAGCAAUUGACGUUAGCGACAGAAGAAGCACCGGCUAACUCCGUGCCAGCAGCCGCGGUAAUACGGAGGGUGCGAGCGUUAAUCGGAAUUACUGGGCGUAAAGGGCACGCAGGCGGUUAAUUAAGUUGGAUGUGAAUCCCGGGCUUAACCUGGGAAUGGCAUUCAAGACUGGUUAGCUAGAGUCUUGUAGAGGGGGUAGAAUUCCAUGUGUAGCGGUGAAAUGCGUAGAGAUGUGGAGGAAUACCGGUGGCGAAGGCGGCCCCUGGGACAAAGACUGACGCUCAUGUGCGAAAGCGUGGGGAGCAAACAGGAUUAGAUACC